GACGAACGCUGGCGGCGUGCUUAACACAUGCAAGUCGAACGAAGGGCGAUGGAAGCUUGCUUCUAUCAAUCUUAGUGGCGAACGGGUGAGUAACGCGUAAUCAACCUGCCCUUCAGAGGGGGACAACAGUUGGAAACGACUGCUAAUACCGCAUACGAUCUAAUCUCGGCAUCGAGGAUAGAUGAAAGGUGGCCUCUACAUGUAAGCUAUCACUGAAGGAGGGGAUUGCGUCUGAUUAGCUAGCUGGAGGGGUAACAGCCCACCAAGGCGAUGAUCAGUAGCCGGUCUGGGAGGAUGAACGGCCACAUUGGGAAUGAGACACGGCCCAGACUCCUACGGGAGGCAGCAGUGGGGAAUCUUCCGCAAUUGACGAAAGUCUGACGGAGCAACGCCGCGUGAGUGAUGACGGCCUUCGGGUUGUAAAGCUCUGUUAAUCGGGACGAAAGGCCUUCUUGCGAAUAGUGAGAAGGAUUGACGGUACCGGAAUAGAAAGCCACGGCUAACUACGUG
RNAcentral lists this ribosomal RNA (510 nucleotides) under uncultured bacterium. RNAcentral's name for it is "partial 16S ribosomal RNA". It matches the Rfam family "Bacterial small subunit ribosomal RNA", at positions 28 to 507 of the family's 1533-position model. The record is from RNAcentral.